Molecule: long non-coding RNA, 1725 nt
Organism: Physeter macrocephalus (sperm whale)
Lineage: Eukaryota; Metazoa; Chordata; Mammalia; Artiodactyla; Physeteridae
Source: Ensembl
CAUCCCUAACAAUGCGCGGAAAACCCGAGGCUUCCCUGCGCUCGACGCUCACUCUACAACCGCAGCUCCUCCCCUGGCAGGAACCCCCAAGUUCCCGGACCUUAACAACAGGGCGCCUGGAUCUCUCGGCCGCAGGUUCCAGGGACGCUGAAAUUGAACGCUCCGCCUACAGUUUCGUGCUGUGCACGAAGGAGUUGACCAGGAUGAAAAGCGAACUCUGCCUUCUUGAAAGCUGACAGUUAUCUGUAUGGAAAAUCUGCCCAGUGGAAAAUUGUCCAGAAAAGAUUACUAAGUAAUAUAGGGUCUUCUGGGAUGUCUUACCAAUACGAGCUUUUCUAAGAGCACCAAAAAUUAAACUAUUGCUUUGUCCUGGCAUUCAGGAAAAUACAGGUGUACGCCAACAGAGGAAUUCAUAGACAACUAACUAGUCCUCUUUCACUAGUUGAUUGGUUCUUACACAGUUGCUUGGUUGGUUCUUAAGAAAGCAGGCACCUCCUUUUACCCCAAGCCAAAAUUAAAAUGUGUCCAAAAGUUGUUCUUUUAGGCUUUUUUUACUGAUUUUCCCAUGUUCCUCUGGCAAACUCCUACAUUUUUUCCAAUUCCAGUACUGUUGUUGGGUGUCAUUCCCAGAAGACAACCCGAAACCCUCUUAGGCCUUAGGAGAUCACCCGAAUACUAGCCUUAAUUAACCUAGAUCAACACAAAAUUCUAGCGUGGGGCCAUGCUCCUAGAUAGCAGGCAGAAAAAUUCCUGGAAGUUUCCUGGGGAAAAGACAGAGGCUGACUAGCAAUUUGCUAAAAAGUACUGAGUACCUUGCAGGCCACCAGGUACUAGCUGAGGUAGUUCCAGCUCUUCAAUGCCUUGCCAGGAUUUAAAUGCUCAGUGAGGUGAGUACUAAGGGCACAAAUGUCCUGUGGAGGGCUUUAUUCUCCAAGGGCUUUCUGAGUGCACCUCUAUCCUCCUUGUGCCACUGGCACCCUAAACUCAAGCUUAGUCAUCCCUGAAAUGCUCCCACACUACCCAGUGUCAAGGAACCACAAUUCUAGACUUUGGACACAGGUGAACCAGGAGGAAAUCCCUACUCUUCCUGUGUAAAUGUAAGGAAGUUACUGCUACAUUUUUUUCCCAUCAACAAUAUAAGAAUAGUACUAUAGGGUGCUGUGAGAAUUAAAUAGAAUGCUUAAAUCACCAAGAACAGGGCCAAGCACUUUAUAAGUACUCAGUAAAUGGUAGCUGUUGUAUUUACUACAGUUCAUUGCCCUGAGAACAAAAGGACCAGAAACAGCAAGGAGGUUUGGAGAUGGAUUUGAAUCCCUGCAAGUUGAGUUCCCCCACCCCAUCCCCGACAGUUGCUUAGUUGUGAUACUUUUGUCUACUCUGUGCCUGCUUUCUAGUAGGGUGAACUGGACAGUUCUACGUGUAGUCAGGUGAUUCCCAUGCACACUAAAGUCUGAGAAGCGCUAGUCUGAAAGCCACUAUGUAUACUGUUUAGGUCUCCUUUUGUUUUUUUUUCUUUUUUUUUUUUUUUUUUUCGGUACGCGGGCCUCUCACUGUUGUGGCCUGUCCCGUUGCGGAGCACAGGCUCCGGACGCGCAGGCUCAGUGGCCAUGGCUCACGGGCCCAGGCGCUUUAAGGCAUGUGGGAUCUUCCCGGACUGGGGCACGAACCCGCAUCCCCUGCAUCAGCAGACCGACUCUCAACCACUGUGCCACCAGGGAAGCCCUU